Dromaius novaehollandiae (emu) is the source of this 394-nucleotide long non-coding RNA. RefSeq lists it as uncharacterized. The record is from RefSeq and is a predicted model, not a curated record. Lineage: Eukaryota; Metazoa; Chordata; Aves; Casuariiformes; Dromaiidae. The transcript is spliced from 4 exons.
GCGUGAAGACAACAGUGUGCAAUGGAAGUUGGGAAAUAUUUAGAAAACUUGCAAGCAGCUUGUGUUACAUUGUUCCUUUCUCAAAUGAUCCGUGGAUGGUUUUCACCUCUGCUUGGAAGCAGGAUGUUUCAAGACCUCAGUAGCUGCUACAAAAAGAAAUAGCUAUUCUCCAAGAAGAUCUAAUUAGAUUUGCUCCAGCAAACAUCGGACACAGCCGGAAUAUGAGUCACCUAGAAAUGGAAGCAAAGCAAAGCUUACAACACUCCAGAAACCCAUACUGCUGCUGCCAGCAAUGAGGUUGCAGCAUCCUCGACAUUGCCCAGGCCCCAGCUCCAUUUGAUGCAGAAGAGAGAGGAGGCAAAGCUGUGGUCAUCUGUUCUUUGGAAAGAUAUUU